Molecule: ribosomal RNA, 945 nt
Filed under: uncultured bacterium
Lineage: Bacteria
Description: bacterial SSU rRNA
Rfam family: Bacterial small subunit ribosomal RNA
Source: RNAcentral
GAGUUUGAUCAUGGCUCAGAUUGAACGCUGGCGGCAGGCCUAACACAUGCAAGUCGAGCGGUAGAGAGAAGCUUGCUUCUCUUGAGAGCGGCGGACGGGUGAGUAAUGCCUAGGAAUCUGCCUAGUGGUGGGGGAUAACGUUCGGAAACGGACGCUAAUACCGCAUACGUCCUACGGGAGAAAGCGGGGGAUCUUCGGACCUCGCGCCAUUAGAUGAGCCUAGGUCGGAUUAGCUAGUUGGUGAGGUAAUGGCUCACCAAGGCGACGAUCCGUAACUGGUCUGAGAGGAUGAUCAGUCACACUGGAACUGAGACACGGUCCACACUCCUACGGGAGGCAGCAGUGGGGAAUAUUGGACAAUGGGCGAAAGCCUGAUCCAGCCAUGCCGCGUGUGUGAAGAAGGUCUUCGGAUUGUAAAGCACUUUAAGUUGGGAGGAAGGGUAGUAACCUAAUACGUUGCUACUUUGACGUUACCGACAGAAUAAGCACCGGCUAUCUUCGUGCCAGCAGCCGCGGUAAUACGAAGGGUGCGAGCGUUGUCCGGAAUUACUGGGCGUAAAGAGCUCGUAGGCGGUUUGUCGCGUCGUCUGUGAAAUUCUGCAACUCAAUUGCAGGCGUGCAGGCGAUACGGGCAGACUUGAGUACUACAGGGGGAGACUGUAUUUCCUGGUUGUAGCGGUGAAAUGCGCAGAUAUCAGGAGGACACCGGUGGCGAAUGCGGGUCUCUGGGUUAGUAACUGACGCUGAGAGCGAAAGCGUGGGUAGCGAACAGAUUACAUACCGCUGUAGUCACGCAGUAACGAUGAGUUGCUAGUGGUCGCAUGCAUGCAUGUCCGAUGACGCACUAACGCAUAAGCACUCCGCUGGAGGAAGUACGUCGCUAGAUCAACUCAAGUAACUGACCGUCGCAAGCGGCGGACCAGUGAUUACUUCGAAUGCAACUGA